AACAGAUCAGUGUACUCUUGGAAUGGAGACUUGCUGAAACGGGUAUCCUUCCAGAAAUCGGGCGUCAAGAACCCAUAGGUCUUCAGGAGACAGUCAAAAGUAGCCUGCAACAAUGACGACAAUGUACAAAAUGAGGAAAUUCAGAGAUAUGAUGCACAAAGAACAAUACACAAUCCAGAACAUUGAAAAAUCCUGAAAAUAACAUACAGAAGCAACCAAAGCUUAUCCGAUAUGAAAACCAAAACCAAAUUUUAACUAGCAACACAUAGCAGGAAGCCUUUAAGAUUCAUAAUCUCAUAUAAACAAAACCAUAUGCCAAUUAACCAACUUUACAAAUUGAAUUCAUCAUAACAGUUUAAACUUCCAAGCUUUAAUCAAACAUGAUUGAAUGGGAAACUGAAAGCGUAUAAACAGAGCAGUUAAACAAAAAUGAAUAAAGAUUCAUCAAAAGAGAAUAAUACUAAUAUGAUAAUCGAUUCCUCCAGAGUGAUUACGAGCACAACUAAAAGCAUCAUUCAAUUGAAGGGCAUUUCUAAAAUAACAGAAAGAAUUCAAACCUUGACGAAGUUGCCAAGGGUCUUUGUAGAGCCACGGGAGGAAGUGAAAACAUCUUCAAUCCCAGCAAACUGAAGAACCUUCUUCGGCACGCGAGCAGCAACGAUUCCAGCACCGCGAGGAGCAGGAACCAUCCUCACAGUAACGGAACCACAUUUCCCAGUAACCUUGCAGGGCACUGUAUGAGGCAAACCGAUCUUGUUUCCCCAGUAACCCCUCCUGACCGGGAUAACAGAGAGCUUAGCAAGGAUAAUUGCUCCACGAAUAGCAGUAGCAACUUCCUUGGAGCACUUCACGCCCAAUCCGACGUGGCCAUUACAGUCUCCGACGACGACGCAGGCCUUGAAUCCAGUCCUCCGACAGGCGCGGGGCGGGUCUUCGUGAUGAGGGUCUGCGUGGUGGUCGGUCUCCGCCGGCUACUCUGUCAGACAUUGUUUCUCAAUUUGCAGUGAAACAAUUAGGGUUUGUGCGCAAGGGUGGAUGAAGAUUGGAAAGCGGCUUGGUGGGUUUAGGGGUUUUAUGUACAGAUAUAGUUCCAAGGUUUUAAUGGGCAAGAAAUGAUGGCCCAGUUUGUUGGACUUUUAAUAUGUGGGCCGUGGGCUUUUUGGACUUCAAAAUGAUUUAUUCUUAGCUUAUCAUUCGAAAAUAUUUGAAUUUAUCACCGUGAAAAAAACAAUAUUAUCCUCAUAUAAGAAUAUUAGUAUCUAAUAUCCUCGUAUAAGAAUACAAUAUUGUUAUUAUAUUUCACGGAUACGUAACUAAUAUGACAUCAUUAUGUCAUCAAUUAUGUUAUGUCGGUUUUAGAACAUAUGGUUAUUGAUGAUGGAUCUAUUGCAUUCAUCUCUCUAUAUUAAGCUUAAUUUUCUAUGUUUUGUAAGAUCACUUUAUGCAUUAGUUUAGGUAGUUUAGACUACUUAUGAUUAUUUGCUUUGUUUUGUUUUGUUCGUGUUGAUUUGUUUUGAGUCUAUUUGAUGUUAUUUUAGAGUGUGUUGCAUUUCAAACGUGGUAAGCAUGUCAAAUGGGUGUUUUACGUAUCAAGAAAAGACAAAUGGGUGUUUUUCGAGUGUUGAACACAAAUCUAAAUAAUCUUCACUUCUAAGUGUCGUUUAUUAACUUGGACGGUUUCAUUUAUCGAGAGACGAUACAAGCAAUCGUAGGAUGUCUGAAAUUGUCUCUCUACUUAUUACAUAUUUGUGUUAUCGUGUAUAUAUGUUUGGUUACUUAGGCAGAACUGAGAGUUACGGUGACAUACAUAUAAAUACUUUGAAAGAAAGGCUAUCAGAGAAUAUAAACACAACUUGAUUCUUGUUGUGGAGUUAGUUUGUUACGAGGCUACCGAGUUGCACUCCCUCAUUCUAAUGAAUUAUCACAAGUUGAUGAAGAAUGCAUUAGUAAUUUAGUACCAAUCAUGCAACUACCUAUCUGGAUAGCAUUGGACACCAAAUGUUUUUGUAUGUUCACAAUUUUUUCUAUAUAUUGAUAUAUUAUUCUUGUUAUAAUUUACUUAAUAUUGUCGAAAAAGAUUUGAUUUUAUCAGGCGAGUAACGUUGUGAAGUAUUAACCAAUGAUUAAACUGAACAAACCUUGACAAAGAAACGAGUAUGUCAAAGGACAGAGAUUAAGGAAACCAGAAAGUCGCCACUUGAAGAAGGUAGUCACUGACUUUUAACCAAACCGAUCAAAAAGAAGCUAGCAAUCCAAAAUAUGCCACGAGAACGUAGGCAAAUUCACCAUGAACGUAAACCAAGACUAUAACAAGGUUUGCAACACUUGAAAGAAAUCCAUACUAUUUGCUACCCUCUUGCUCUAUAAAUAAUCCCCUUUAACAUUCUGGAAAAAGUAGACAGACCACAUUUCCCAUUACAUUGAAUCAAGCUUCUGCUACCCUCUCAACAUCCUCAAGAACAAGAGCCUUGGUUGGCUUUCCUAACAGGUCAGUGUACUCUUGGAAUGGAGAUUUGCUGAAGCGGGUAUCCUUCCAGAAAUCAGGCGUCAAGAAUCCGUAGGUCUUCAGGAGACAGUCAAAGGUAGCCUGCAACGACGGCAACAAUGUAGAAAUGAGAAACUUCAAUAGAGAACUCCACAUUAUGUGAUUAUGCACAAAGAACACAAACAGUCUAGAACAUUGGAACACACCAAUUACAACAUACAAUAGCAAUCAAUUGAAAUCAUAACACAUGGCUGGAAGCCUAUAGGAGUAUAUUCAUGUCAUAUUCAAGAAACAAUAUAUAAAGUCAUCAUCUUUGCACAUCGAAUUCAGCAUAUCUGUUCAACCUUCCAAGCUUUCAUCAAAUAUGAUUCACCCACCCAGCUAUUCAGAAUAUUGGAACCAAAACAUCAUACUUCAAACAAUAUGGCGAACUGAAACCAUAUAAUAUAAUCAAUUAC
RNAcentral lists this long non-coding RNA (2943 nucleotides) under Linum usitatissimum (flax). RNAcentral's name for it is "long non-coding RNA (LUSI_LNC003841)". Lineage: Eukaryota; Viridiplantae; Streptophyta; Magnoliopsida; Malpighiales; Linaceae. The record is from RNAcentral.